AAUAGAUACCCCGGUAGUCCACGCCGUAAACGAUGUCGACUUGGAGGUUGUGCCCUUGAGGCGUGGCUUCCGGAGCUAACGCGUUAAGUCGACCGCCUGGGGAGUACGGCCGCAAGGUUAAAACUCAAAUGAAUUGACGGGGGCCCGCACAAGCGGUGGAGCAUGUGGUUUAAUUCGAUGCAACGCGAAGAACCUUACCUACUCUUGACUAUCCAGAGAACUUAGCAGAGAUGCUUUGGUGCCUUCGGGAACUCUGAGACAGGUGCUGCAUGGCUGUCGUCAGCUCGUGUUGUGAAAUGUUGGGUUAAGUCCCACAACGAGCGCAACCCGUUAUCCUUUGUUGCCAGCGAUUCGGUCGGGAGCUCAAAGGAGACUGCCAGUGAUAACUGGAGGAAGGUGGGGAUGACGUCAAGUCAUCAUGGCCCUUACGAGUAGGGCUACACACGUGCUACAAUGGCAUAUCAAAGNGAAGCGACCUGCGAGAGCAAGCGGACCUCAUAAAGUAUGUCGUAGUCCGGAUUGG
RNAcentral lists this ribosomal RNA (523 nucleotides) under uncultured bacterium. RNAcentral's name for it is "bacterial SSU rRNA". It matches the Rfam family "Bacterial small subunit ribosomal RNA", at positions 777 to 1301 of the family's 1533-position model. The record is from RNAcentral.